This 88-nucleotide transfer RNA is filed under the name Truepera sp. RNAcentral describes it as "tRNA-Leu". It matches the Rfam family "tRNA". From Rfam's summary of the family: Transfer RNA (tRNA) molecules are approximately 80 nucleotides in length. The record is from RNAcentral. Lineage: Bacteria; Thermotogati; Deinococcota; Deinococci; Trueperales; Trueperaceae.
GCCGAGGUGGCGGAACUGGCAGACGCGCCAGCUUGAGGGGCUGGUAUCCGUUAAGGAUGUGUGGGUUCGAGUCCCAUCCUCGGCACCA